This 253-nucleotide ribosomal RNA is filed under the name uncultured bacterium. Its description in RNAcentral is "partial 16S ribosomal RNA". It matches the Rfam family "Bacterial small subunit ribosomal RNA", at positions 524 to 776 of the family's 1533-position model. The record is from RNAcentral.
UACAGAGGGGGCAAGCGUUGUUCGGAAUUACUGGGCGUAAAGGGCGCGUAGGCGGCCUGUUAAGUCGAACGUGAAAUCCCCGGGCUCAACCCGGGAACUGCGUCUGAUACUGGAUGGCUUGGAUCCGGGAGAGGGAUGUGGAAUUCCAGGUGUAGCGGUGAAAUGCGUAGAUAUCUGGAGGAAUACCGGUGGCGAAGGCGGCAUCCUGGACCGGCAUUGACGCUGAGGAGCGAAAGCUAGGGGAGCAAACGGG